UCGACUAUGUUGAAUAAAAUUCUAGGUAGAAUUAUGAUAAUGACAUUGUCUGCCUAUGUGUCUUGACCAAAUUACGUGCCAGCAGUCGCGGUAAUACGUAGAAGACUAGUGUUAUUCAUGUUUAAUCGGUUUAAAGGGUACCUAGACGGUAGAUCAAGCUUUCUAAUAAAGGAAAAGGACUAAUUUACUAGAGUUACUUAUGAGGGGGUAUUAAAGUACUGCUGGUGUAGAGAUGAAAUUCUGUCAUACCUCUUUUCAAAAGAAAAACCAUGGCACAGGUAUAGGCGAAGGCAUCCCCUUAUGUGAUAACUGACGUUGAGGGACGAAGGCUUUGUGUAGCGAACAGGAUUAGAUACCCCAGUAGUCGAAGCAGAAAAUGAUGAAUGUCAUAGAUUAGAUAUAUAAGUUUAUUCUAUAAAUGAAAGUGUAAGCAUUCCACCUCAUGAGUAAUUUGGCAACAUUGGAACUGAAAUCAUUAGACCGUUUCUGAAACCAGUAGUGAAGUAUGUUGUUUAAUUUGAUGAUCCCAAAAAACCUUACCACAAUUUGAAUAUUUAUAUUAUUUAUUGUUUUAUUAUUAAUAUUCUUAUCUUUUUCAUCAUCAUUAAGAAGAAAAUGAAGAAUAUUAAUAAAAAGGCAAUAAGAUAUAUUUAC
This 654-nucleotide ribosomal RNA is filed under the name Xanthoparmelia sp. Its description in RNAcentral is "SSU rRNA". It matches the Rfam family "Bacterial small subunit ribosomal RNA", at positions 413 to 1041 of the family's 1533-position model. The record is from RNAcentral. Lineage: Eukaryota; Fungi; Ascomycota; Lecanoromycetes; Lecanorales; Parmeliaceae.